GCCGGGAUGGCGGAAUGGCAUACGCGCGGGUUUCAAAAACCCGUGGCCGCAAGGUCGUGUGGGUUCAAGUCCCACUCCCGGCACCA
This 86-nucleotide transfer RNA is filed under the name Planctomycetota bacterium. RNAcentral's name for it is "tRNA-Leu". It matches the Rfam family "tRNA". Rfam says of the family: Transfer RNA (tRNA) molecules are approximately 80 nucleotides in length. Their secondary structure includes four short double-helical elements and three loops (D, anti-codon, and T loops). The record is from RNAcentral. Lineage: Bacteria; Pseudomonadati; Planctomycetota.